CCUACGGGGGACAGCAGUGACGAAUAUUGGUCAAUGGCCGCAGCGCUGAACCAGCCAAGUCGCGUGAGGGAUGACGGUCCUAUGGACUGUAAACCUCUUUUGUAAGGGAGCAAAGGGCGCCACGUGUGGCGCUUUGCGAGUACCUGAAGCAAAAGCAUCGGCUAACUCCGUGCCAGCAGCCGCGGUAAUACGGAGGGUGCGAGCGUUAUCCGGAUUUAUUGGGUUUAAAGGGCGCGUAGGUGGAUUGUUAAGUCAGUUGUGAAAGUUUGCGGCUCAACCGUAAAAUUGCAGUUGAAACUGGCAGUCUUGAGUACAGGAGAGGUGGGCGGAAUUCGUGGUGUAGCGGUGAAAUGCUUAGAUAUCACGAAGAACUCCGGUUGCGAAGGCAGUUCACUGGACUGCAACUGACACUGAGGCUCGAAGGUGUGGGUAGCAAACAGGAUUAGAUACCCGGGUAGUC
This 460-nucleotide ribosomal RNA is filed under the name uncultured bacterium. RNAcentral's name for it is "partial 16S ribosomal RNA". It matches the Rfam family "Bacterial small subunit ribosomal RNA", at positions 338 to 795 of the family's 1533-position model. The record is from RNAcentral.